This 349-nucleotide unclassified non-coding RNA is filed under the name uncultured fungus. Its description in RNAcentral is "sequence contains ITS1". The stretch from base 1 to 105 matches the Rfam family "5.8S ribosomal RNA", at positions 50 to 154 of the family's 154-position model. Lineage: Eukaryota; Fungi. The record is from RNAcentral.
AAAGUGCGAUAAGCAAUGCGAAUUGCAGAAUUCCGCGAAUCAUCAGAUCCUUGAACGCAACUGGCGCUAGGGGGCUCUCCUCCUAGCAUGUCUGUUUCAGUGUCUGAAAACAUCCUAAUCCUAAACUUAAUGUGGUUGAUGACGAAAAAGUUACUUUCUUCUUUGAAAUCUCCCAUGAAAGAUGUACAUGUGGGUCUUUGGACCCUUCAUCGAAUUUGGUCACUGUCUUUUCAGUGAUUUCGAUAAGGGAAUAUAAAACAAUCCAAUUACCUUAGAUACAUGUAGGACUUAAUAACAAAGUCUUCAAACUCUGCAUCUGAAAUCAGGCAAGAACACCCGCUGAACUUAA